GUCUUUUAUUGAAGGGACUCUUAUUUUGAUAAUUGUAGACUGUAUUUCGACGUACAUCCAGUAGGAGGCAUUAUUGUACUGGUUUGCUGCCUGAUGACUGCUUGUAUUAUUACUGAGAGAACGGCAGCUGUGCUCAAGGUAUCCUCAGCUGCGCACCGAAGUUUUCCUGCCUGUUAUUUUGGAUGUUUGUCGGCGUUUGGUGUUUCAAAGUGUUAGUUCAUGACCAUAAAACUCAUUUUGAAUACACUUUGGAAAGAAGCUCCAGUCUCCUCAUUCAUUGUGUCCUGACCGACACACCAGGAGUGUAUACUGCUGAUAAUUAGAACCCAAGCCUAGCAGUCUCUUUCCUCUCCAACAACUGGUCCUUCGAGCCGGAGGCUGUGUUCAUUCAGGGCACCAUGGAAUCUGAUGAGGAGAUCGUUGGAACAUCCAGACCAAAACGGCAAACACGUCCACCAGUACGUCUCCAUGACUUCGAAGUGCAGUAUGUAGGUGGCAGAGCUGUAACGGAACCUGCUAUUUCACCCCACUGGGAGGUACCAGCCCCUUUGACACCUCUCCAGUCAUCAUGGCACAAUCCUAAUUACCUCUGUGAUGAUGCUGCGCUUCCCACAGGCCCUCGGUUGAGAUCACCAAGCUUCAGUUCUGCAGAGCAUAGUGAAAACCUUCCUCAGUCAUUCAUGUCAGCCCAGCAGCCCAGAUACCCUAAGCCUGAGUACUAUAAUGAGCUACAAGCCAUUCUCAGAGAGAAUGCACAGCUGCUGCAGACACACCAAGCCUUUCGUGAUGACAUGAUGGAGUUGAAAGCAGUUAGUAUUGAGUUCAAAGAACUAGUUAAAGUUGCUCAAGCCUUGAGAGCAGAGCUCAGUCCAAGUUAAAGCCAUGAUAGUCCUCCAGUGCGAUCAGAUCCCAAAUUGCCAUCCCGUCCUUCCUGCCACGUUGACCAGACAGAGCAGGCCACACCAGCUGAGGAUAAAGAAUGGCCUGAGCUUCCACCCUGGCCUGAGCCCGAGUUAGAACUGAGAAGGGGCAUGGAGACUUUAAAGUUAUCAAAACCCUGCACAGCUACAUACCAACGAGAGGUACCGAGGUACUCGAAGGCCUCCAAGUCUCAAUCUUCCCAAUCAUAUCUGCCUCCUCAGUAUUAUUCUCAAAGUACAGAUGUGCUACCUCCGCCACCAACCCCUGAAGACCUCAGAGAGUUGUUAUCCUCAACUGCACAGUCCUUAUAUCGGAAACCUUCACAGGUUCAAAUCCCAGUUUCUUCUCCUCGAUAUGGAGCCAUGCCAGCUCAGCCAAGUCAUCCAACACCUGCAGUUAAAGUAGAGUCCAAUAUACCACAUUUUACCCACACCUCAGGGUCAGAGUAUGUCUAUAGAGGGCCUACCCCUACCAUCCCCAAGUUCAGCCGGCCAGAUCCAAGCGAGUUCGCCAGACUUCGAAUUGCCUUAGAGAAUUUGCUUCCUCCAGAUGGGACUGAACUCUUUAAGUAUCAAAUACUGGUGGACCAUUUAAAGUUGGAUGAAGCUAAGCUGAUUGCGGAUGCCUUUCUGAACUCGCCAACCCCAUUUACUGACACCAUGGUGGCCCUCCAUGAGAAGUUUGGUCAGCCCCACCAACUAGCAUUGAGGAAAAUUGCCAGUGUUUUAGAAGCUCCUGAUGUAAGGCGUGGGGAUACUGUUGCAUUUCAAAAGUUUGCUCUGCAGGUACAGUCGUUGGUGGGUUUGUUGAAAACUUUAGGACCUGAAGGUGACAUUGAAUUGAAUUGUGGGUCACAUGUGGCACGCCUUGUGAGUAAACUUCCUACUGAGCAACGAGCUGAGUUCCGCCGUCACAUGUUCUGGCAACCUGGAACUGUACCUACUCUGCACGACCUUUCAAACUGGCUCCGCUAUGAAGCUUGGUGUCAUGACUUUGAUGUUGAAAUUGUCUCACGAGGAGUCCAAGACCGUCAGACUUUCCGACCUGUACAGAGUAAAAGGACUGUAGCCGUUCUUCAUGGAGUUGGAGAGGCUCAUAAUUUAACUUCCCUAUCACCUCAGAAGGGUACUACUCAAAGGACCAAGUCAAGUGAAAUGAAACGGUUCUGCCCAUUCUGUGAUAGCACAGAGCUUUAUUUGAGUCAAUGCAAAGCAUUCGCUAAACUUACCACUGAUCAGGCCAAAGACUGGAUUCGAGAAAAUAAUCGUUGUUGGCGCUGUGCCAGGACUCACCACGCUGCUCAGUGUGACCUGAAGAAGCCCUGCAACCUAUGUCAAGGCAAACAUCUUCGACCUCUGCACAAUGUAAACGUUAGAUCUUCCCAAGAGGAUACAGUUAGUAGUGAGAAAACCUGCCUUACCAAUUCCUCUCCAGACAGAUUUUACCUGGACAAACCAGUGGUUGGGAACCGUGUAAUGCUGAAGGUAGUACCUAUCCAUGUUCAUUAUGAAGACCGCACUUUAGAUACAUUUGCACUUCUGGAUGAUGGCUCUGAGAGGACCAUCUUGCUCCCUACUGCUGCCAAAGCCCUCGGUAUACAGGGUACACCUGAAGAUCUCUCCUUGCACACUGUUCGACAAGACAUUGAAGUUCUUCGUGGGUCAUCUAUCUCCUUUCAAGUAUCCUCAACCCACAAGCCUCAAAUUCUUUACAAAAUUGAACAUGCCUUCACUGCUGAUCGCCUCAAUUUGUCACGACAGUCUUAUCCUGUGGAUCAUCUGCAGAAGAAGUAUCACCACAUACAUGGUCUUCCCAUCCUGCAAAUUAAAGAUGUUCAGCCUCUACUUCUGAUUGGGUCAGAUCAGCCCCAUCUCAUUACCCCAAUUGAACCUGUCAGAUUAGGUUCUCCAGGUGGACCUGCUGCUGUCCUCACACUCCUGGGAUGGACCCUCCAGGGCCCUGCAUCAUUCAUGGGGCGGCCUGCAUCCUCCCAACAAUGCCUGCUGACAUCAGUCCUUCCACCUCAAGAUGAGCUCUUUAAGAAUGUCCAAAGGCUCUGGCAGAUGGAAACUGUUCCACACAGAGAUGAGAAAGAGGUGACUCGAUCUAAACAAGAUCAGGAAGCUUUAAAGUUACUCGAAACCAAGACCAUCCACACCGAAGUCAAAGGCAUUCUUCGACUUGCAACACCCUUGUUACGGCAGAAAGAUAUGCCUAUGUUGCAUGCCCCUAAGGAAUCAGUCAUGCCUAACCUGCGCAGUAUUGAGAAACGUUUGUUGAAGGAUACGGUGAAAGCAGAGAUCUACAGAGCUGAGAUGGAGAAGCUCAAGCAGACAGGAGCUGUCCAGGAAGUAAAUAAAGAAACAACAGACUCAGAGGAAUGUUGGUAUAUACCUCACCACAUUGUCAGUCAUAAGGGGAAAUCUCGUGUGGUUUUCAACUGUUCCCACCAAUUUCAUGGGCAGAGUCUCAAUCAGUAUCUGCUGCCUGGCCCUACACUUGGCGCAUCAUUGCUAGGUGUGCUCAUCAGAUUUAGGGAGCAUUCAGUCGCAGUAAGUGGUGACAUCAAGGUGAUGUUCCAUCAGGUCCGCCUCCUUCCCAAAGAUCGUCCCCUACUGCGUUUCCUGUGGCGUGAUCUGAAAGUGGGAGAACCACCUAAAGUUUUCGAAUGGCAGGUGUUACCAUUUGGCACUGCAUGCAGUCCGUGCUGUGCCACUUAUGCUCUGCAGCGCCAUGUGACCGAGCACAGUGUGGCUGAUGAGUCCAUCAGGUUCUCAGUAGAGAAAUGUUUUUAUGUGGACAAUUGCCUUCAGAGUCUGAGCACCCCUGAAGCGGCGAGGUGUCUGGUUGAUGGAUUGAGAGAGAUGCUUUCUACAGCUGGAUUUGAGAUACGACAGUGGGCCAGCAAUGUUCCCGGAGUUCUGAGUCAUUUACCCACAGAAGCUCAAGCUGAGAGCUUGGAACUUUGGUUAGCUCAAGACAAGACUGACAUAUCAGAAUCAACCUUAGGUCUACACUGGAACUGGCAGACUGAUAAACUGUCAUUCAAGAGCUGACCUGUCGUGUAUAAGACUCCCACCCUCAGGAACAUCUACAAGGUCCUAGCCACUCAAUAUGACCCUCUCGGACUUCUUUUGCCGUACACUACUCGAGCCAAGGUCAUCAUUAGGCAGCUAUGGAAUAAGCAGCGGGGUUGGGAUGAUCCAAACUUACCUCCUGAACUCUUGCAGUCAUGGCACGUCUGGGAGAAUGAACUCCAGUACCUACCAAACAUAACCCUCCCUAGGACUUAUGUCCCUCUUGAGGUGGAGAAGGAUGGUGCCAUACAUGAAGUUCACAUCUUUUCAGAUGCCUCAGAACAGGCAUAUGGAGCUGUGGCAUACAUGAGGACCACUGACAAAAGAGGCCAAGUGUACCUGUCUUUCAUGGUAGCUCGAUCCCGAGUAGCACCCAAACGUUCUCAUUCCAUUCCUUGAUUGAAACUUUGUGGAGCUCUUGUGGCUUUUCAGUUAGCCAGAUUGCUUCAGAGGGAACUGACCUUGCAAAUUGAGACCACGGUGUUGUGGACAGACUCCUCCACUGUCCUUACCUAGCUGAACUCGGAAUCAUGCCAUUACAAAGUUUUUGUUGGCAAUAGAGUUGCCGAAAUCCAGGAGCUAACAGGGAAUUGUUCUUGGCGCUAUGUGGAUUCUGCUAGCAAUCCUGCCGAUGACCUCACCAGAGGCAGACCACUGAAUGUUCUUUCAGGGAUGAAUAGAUGGUCUCAAGGACCUCCCUUUUUACUCCAAGAUCCAGCCACCUGGCCAGUAAUGCCAGGAACAGACCUGACAGAUGACCCCACAGAGCUACGGAAGUCUGCAUUUUGCGGUACCGCUGCAGUACCACCCCGAUCCAGUAUACCGGAUGCUUGGAACUAUCACACCUGGCAAGAACUCCUGGAUGCCACUGCUAAGGAAAUUCAGGUAAACUCUACCUCUGAUUCCUUUCCCGAUGCAAAUGAUUAUAAUCAAGCGGAGAUCCUUAUUCACAAGCGAGUACAGCAGGAGUCUUUUCCCAAUGACUAUCAACAUUUGGAGAAAGGGAAGCCAGUGUCUGCUGACAGUAAUCUUCUUACCUUAGCUCCUGAACUGGACAGAUUUAGUGGUUUAAUCAGAGUGGGAGGUCGAUUGAGGAGAGCUGAGUCAAUAGAAAAAUGUACCUUACACCCCAUUGUAUUGGACGCUCAUCAUCCAGUCACCCGUCUACUGAUUAAGCAUUAUGAUUGCAAGUUACAUCACCCAGGAGCUGAGCGUGUGUUUGCCGAAAUCCGACGCCAUUAUUGGAUUCUUCGUGGUCGUGAAGCCAUUCGUCGGCACCAGCAUGGGUGUCCAGAAUGUCAGCGUUGGAGGGCACAGCCAACUAUUCCUAAAAUGGCAGACUUGCCUUCUGCCCGUCUCCGUCUCCACAAACCUGCCUUUUACUCAUGUGGUGUAGAUUGCUUUGGGCCAAUGCUUAUUAAAAUUGGGAGAUGCACAGAGAAAUGCUGGGGGAUAAUCUUUAAGUGUCUAACUACUAGAGCGGUGCACUUGGACCUCCUCAGUACCAUGAAUACUGAUUCCUUCCUGAUGGCCUUUAGGCGGUUUGUUGCACGAAGGGGAACACCAAUGGAACUGUGGUCAGACAGGGGAACAAAUUUCAAAGGGGGUGAAAGAGAACUGAGAGAAGCCUUCGCUGAAAUGGCUCCUGACUUACAGAAACAGCUUGCUCGACAGAGGAUACAAUUUCAUUUCAAUCCUCCAGCAGCCCCACAUUUCGGAGGAGUGUGGGAGAGAGAGGUACGAUCGGUAAAGUCAGCCCUUUAUACUACUGUGGGAGCUCAGUCCGUUCCGGAAGAAGUCCUGCUGACAGUUCUCCUAGAGGUAGAAUCUAUUCUUAACUCAAAGCCUUUAGGGUACGUGUCUUCGGAUGUUGCCGACAUUGACCCAGUGACCCCAAACAGUUUGCUCAUGGGGCGGCCAGAUGGUUCCUUGCCACAGGUAAUCUACCCGGAGUCUGAAUUGUUAAGUCGCAGACGCUGGAGGCAUUCGCAAGUCCUGGCGGAUAACUUCUGGUCCAGGUUUAUCCGAAACUACCUCCCAGGCCUCCAGACACGGCAAAAGUGGCAGUCCUCACCCCCAGAUCUAACAGAGAAAACGGUUGUUAUGAUUGUAGAUCCACAGAUGCCUAGGGCCCUCUGGCCUGUUGGACAUGUCAUCAGGACGCACCGCAGUUCGGAUAGACAUGUCAGGUCUGCUGAUGUGGAUAUAAAGGGGCAAGUCUACACCAGACCCGUAGCACGGUUGGUGAUCCUUCCAGCUCUGCCAGAUAACGAAACCCAUCCUACCAACUCAUCCUAAGUUAAGUCGCCUUUUAGUAGGAGCAAAGUUGCACAGCACCUUUGGGGGCGGCUGUAUGAAAGGCUCCUAGAGAAAUUAGGUCUUUUAUUGAAGGGACUCUUAUUUUGAUAAUUGUAGACUGUAUUUCGACGUACACCCAGUAGGAGGCAUUAUUGUACUGGUUUGCUGCCUGAUGACUGCUUGUAUUAUUACUGAGAGAACGGCAGCUGUGCUCAAGUUUUCCUCAGCUGCGCACCGAAGUUUUCCUGCCUGUUAUUUUGGAUGUUUGUCGGCGUUUGGUGUUUCAAAGUGUUAGUUCAUGACCAUAAAGUAAGUUCUCUUCAGUUUACAUAUGUUUUAAAUGCGUUUUGAAGUGUAUUAUUUAACAUUAUAGUUUACACAGGCAUGUAUGGGCAUGUAACGAUUCACGUGUGAUCGUCGAUAGAUAAACCAGAUAUGAUGUGCAAUUUCUACUAAAUACAGCUUUUGAUGUUACAGUUUACAUAGUAAUUGGUUAUGUCUUGAUACUGUGUAAGGAUUAACCAGUAUUGCUACGUUUUUGAUGUUAUUUUAGAAUUGAUAAACGGUUUAAUGGACUUGGAUUUAUUAAUAUAUUAAGACUGAAAACAUUUUGUGGGACCAGAUCAAUAGUUAUAUUGUCUUUAAUUGCAUUCUCUGCAUAUUGAAAACUACAGCUGUUAUUUAGAUUAUAAUGAAAAUGCUGUUAUUCUUGAUUAAGAAGUGUCUGAUUUAUUUGUAAACCUGUUUUACUUAUACUGUUAUGUUUUGUUAUUUUUAGACUAAUUUUGUAUACACUUUGGAAAGAAGAUCCAGUCUCCUCAUUCAUUGUGUCCUGACCAACACACCAGGAGUGUAUACUGCUGAUAAUUAGAACCCAAGCCUAGCAGUCUCUUUCCUCUCCAACAACCUGCGAACAUACAGGGACGGAAACUCAGCUGCAGCAUACAGUGUACAAUGGUGAACACGAUUUCCACAGCCAGUCAUAAAACGUAAAGCUUUUUUAAAAGAUGGUCCGAUGCAUUCAUAAAAAGGAGAUCUCCGUAAUCCAAUAAAGGUAAAAAAGUUGCAGAAAUCAAACGUUUCCUUUUAUAAACAGAGAAACGUGAUUUAUUUCUGAAAAGAAAACUGAGCUUUAGCUUCAGUUUACGUACAACAUGUUCAAUAUGCUGUUUAAAGGACAAAUUUUCAUCAAUAACAAAGCCUAAAUACUUAUAAGAAGAGACCAUUUGGAUUUCUUUUCCAUCAGCUGUUUUUAUUUUAGGAAGCUGAGAGGGUAGCUGAUUUCUGUUUGAGAAAACCAUAGCUUUAGAUUUGUCCGCAUUUAACACUAGUGUCAGCUGAUUUAGAUGAGACUGAACAGCAUCAGUUUUAUAUAAGAGACUUCUAUAAUAGGCCUAUCCAUUAUACAUGAUAGUAGGCCUACCCAUAAUAGUUUGAAUUAUUUUUGUUUUUUCUUUCUUUUUAUUUCUACUGAACAACCUCCUGGUCCCCAUUGGGAAAACGUUCUGCCUAGGCUAUUUCAUUAUAUUUUAUCCAAUGUAAAAUACUGAUUAUUCCAUUUGUCAAAAUUUUAAAGAUGUCAGGGAAGAGGCAAAGGAGCAUUCUUUCAUGCUUUGCUCUAAAAGAUCAGCUCCCUAAAAAGGUGGCUAGGUCAGAGGAGGAGACUGUGGAUAAGAGAGUGGAGGAGGCAGUUAGGGAACCAGUAGAGGAUGGGUCCAUGAAAGAGACUGUGGAGGACACCAUAGAGGAAACAGUGGAGAGCCCACUGGAAACAGGGAGAAAGAGAGGGUUAAGUGGAGCAGCCACCUAUAGGUGUUCCUUUAAGAAGGAGUGGUCAACCCAAUGGCCGUUCAUCACAAUGGGAACCACCAGCUCUUUUUACUGGUGCUCAGUCUGCAGACAAGAGAGCUCCUGUGCCCAUCAAGGUGUGAGGGACAUCAAACCAAGGAACAGGCUCUAAAAUCAGUUAGCAGUGUUGCACAGUUCUACACACCAGCAACUUCUGUUGGAGGCAUGAGUGUACAAGAGGCCAAGACCAGGAGGGCUGAGGUGAAGGUUGCCGUUGCAAUGGUGCAGCACAAUGUUCCAAUUGCCGAUGCUGAACAUUUCAGCCCCUUGUACAAAUAAUGUUUUGGAGACUCCCCCACGGUUCAUAGCUUUCAGAGAGCAAGCACCAAAACAACGUGCAUCAUAAAUGAAGCAGUGGCACCUCAUAUUAAGAAGGAACUGGUGAUGAAGAUGAGAGAGAAUCCCUUCACACUUGUCACAGAUGGCUCAAAUGAUACUGGUCUAGAGUAGAUGAAUCCCCUCACAGUACGAAUAUUUGACAGCAACAAAGUUGUGCACAGAUUCUUUGAUAUGUGCACCACAAGUGAGCGGUACUGUGGAACUGCUGAAGUUAUUUAUAAAAAAAUCAAUGACACCCUGUAGGAAAGCAACAUCCCUUGGAGAAACUGUAUAUCCGGUUUUGAUCCUGAAGAUCUGGCAGUGGAUGUUGGGUAUUGGUUUAAGGGAAGCACCAAUCGUAAAGGUUACCUGGCAGG
Carassius auratus (goldfish) is the source of this 8839-nucleotide RNA transcript. RefSeq lists it as uncharacterized. The record is from RefSeq and is a predicted model, not a curated record. The transcript is spliced from 5 exons. NCBI's taxonomy places the organism in Eukaryota, Metazoa, Chordata, Actinopteri, Cypriniformes, Cyprinidae.